GACGUAGGGCGCGAGCGUUGUCCGGAUUUAUUGGGCGUAAAGAGCUCGUAGGCGGUCUGUCGCGUCGGCUGUGAAAUCCCGAGGCUCAACCUCGGGUCUGCAGUCGAUACGGGCAAACUGGAGUGUUGCAGGGGAGACUGGAAUUCCUGGUGUAGCGGUGAAAUGCGCAGAUAUCAGGAGGAACACCGGUGGCGAAGGCGGGUCUCUGGGCAACAACUGACGCUGAGGAGCGAAAGCGUGGGGAGCGAACAGG
RNAcentral lists this ribosomal RNA (253 nucleotides) under uncultured bacterium. RNAcentral describes it as "partial 16S ribosomal RNA". It matches the Rfam family "Bacterial small subunit ribosomal RNA", at positions 524 to 776 of the family's 1533-position model. The record is from RNAcentral.